Molecule: ribosomal RNA, 306 nt
Filed under: Triticum aestivum (bread wheat)
Lineage: Eukaryota; Viridiplantae; Streptophyta; Magnoliopsida; Poales; Poaceae
Description: partial small subunit ribosomal RNA
Source: RNAcentral
AUGGAAUUCAAUCCAAUUUGUCUGCUGAAUUUUCCAUAUGUGCAGGCUUCUAUAGUAAUUUGUCUUGAAAAGAUUGAUUAUACGAGCUGUGGCAAGGGAAAACGUCAUGGCAUAAUGCCUGCCGCUAUUUCCACGUCAUCCCCCAAAUUUAAAGUACCUUCACAAAAUCCUGCUUACUUGAAAAUAAACUAUCCAUUUACUGUGAAAAAUGAAGAAGAAACUAGCCAGUGGCAAAAACAUCAGGAGGCCAAACACAGCUAUGCUGUUUGGAUAUAUAAUCUGCUGCUACCUUUAUCUGUAUACUAG